UUUUUUUGGGUACUGUUACAGGAAGAAGUCAAGCUGUUGUUCUCCAAGCAAAAGACUAAAUGCACAUGCUGUCUGGCAGUUCUCUAGCCAAAAUAUGAUACAAAUUCCCUUGGACAGUUUGGAGAAAUCCAGAGAGGAUUGUGAUUCAGUGAGCAGCUGAUUGAUUCACCUCUUCCUGUUCUCACUCAGAGGCCACAGUAUAUAAGCAGAAGGUCACAGGCCAUAUGGGAUGGAAGCCAUGCUCCAAAAUAAGUACUUUCCUCAGAAUGCAUGCAGAGAGGAACAUCAAGAUAUGUGCCUCUUCUUGUGUUCAAUUCAACACAGAAUUUGGCUCGAGUGUAGCAGAAACGUUUUUGGACACUGAGUAAUAUCACAAUUCCACAGUAAGCAAGAAAAAGGAAGUAGUGUCAUUAUAUUUAAUGACUUCUACAUUUAAAAAUAUCUGUGAAAAUUCUUGACACAGUAAGGAAACACAAAACAUACAGCAAUUGUUUGGAAUUAAAAUUCAUAUACAAAUAUUCAAGAAAGUCUGGGCUGAGUUUAUAUCCAACUCAAAAUAUAUACAAUAAUAUAUAUAUAUUAUAAUAAAUAUAUGUAUAAUAUAUAUUUCCCUAUGCUUUACAGGCACUUGGAUCUAGUAUGUACGUGACUACCCAAAGCAGGCAGAAUUGUUUAAUUUAGCUUUCUAUAUACAACCUGUAGGUUAGGAACAGCGGACAGUACUCUGCAAUUUUACUGAUUGUUGUCUGUUUACCAUAAUUACAGAGAUAUUUUAAACUUCCGCAUUUUGUUGUAGGCAUAAUAUUAGGUAGGGAAUAGCAGCAGAACAUUUUGAGUAGUCUGUUAUUGUGGAUACAUCCUGAGGACUAGCUGAUGCUAUUUUUAGUCACUAUGUGGUUAACUGUGACUAGACUGAGGAUGUUAUUUUUUUGUUCAGUGUUUGAAGUUGCAAACAUUGAAUUUUGCAGUCUGAAAUUGCUGAAUUAAAAAAAAUAUAUAUCUGAGUUUUAAUUAAAAGUUAUGCAUAUGAACACA
Centrocercus urophasianus (Greater sage-grouse) is the source of this 1035-nucleotide long non-coding RNA. RefSeq lists it as uncharacterized. The record is from RefSeq and is a predicted model, not a curated record. NCBI's taxonomy places the organism in Eukaryota, Metazoa, Chordata, Aves, Galliformes, Phasianidae. The transcript is spliced from 2 exons.